UUAGUUACCAGCANNUUAUGNUGGGCACUNUAAGGAGACNNCCGGUGNCAAACCGGAGGAAGGUGGGGAGGACGUCAAGUCAUCAUGGCCCUUACGGCCAGGGCUACACACGUGCUACAAUGGUCGGUACAAAGGGUUGCCAAGCCGCGAGGUGGAGCUAAUCCCAUAAAACCGAUNGUAGUCCGGAUCGCAGUCUGCAACUCGANUGCGNGAAGUNGGAAUCGCUAGUAAUCGUGAAUCAGAACGUCACGGUGAAUACGUUCCCGGGCCUUGUACACACCGCCCGUCACACCAUGGGAGUGGGUUGCUCCCAGAAGUAGCUAGUNUAACCUU
Molecule: ribosomal RNA, 333 nt
Filed under: Pseudomonas sp.
Lineage: Bacteria; Pseudomonadati; Pseudomonadota; Gammaproteobacteria; Pseudomonadales; Pseudomonadaceae
Description: partial 16S ribosomal RNA
Rfam family: Bacterial small subunit ribosomal RNA
Source: RNAcentral